Molecule: ribosomal RNA, 683 nt
Filed under: uncultured bacterium
Lineage: Bacteria
Description: bacterial SSU rRNA
Rfam family: Bacterial small subunit ribosomal RNA
Source: RNAcentral
UUCCGGUGAUGACGCUGGGAACGCGAGCGGCGGAUGGGUGAGUAACACGUGGGUAACCUGCCCUAAAGUCUGGGAUACCACUUGGAAACAGGUGCUAAUACCGGAUAACAACAAUAGCUGCAUGGCUAUUGCUUAAAAGGCGGCGAAAGCUGUCGCUAAAGGAUGGACCCGCGGUGCAUUAGCUAGUUGGUAAGGUAAUGGCUUACCAAGGCGACGAUGCAUAGCCGAGUUGAGAGACUGAUCGGCCACAUUGGGACUGAGACACGGCCCAAACUCCUACGGGAGGCAGCAGUAGGGAAUCUUCCACAAUGGGCGAAAGCCUGAUGGAGCAACGCCGCGUGAGUGAAGAAGGUUUUCGGAUCGUAAAGCUCUGUUGUUGGUGAAGAAGGAUAGAGGUAGUAACUGGCCCCUAUUUGACGGUAAUCAACCAGAAAGUCACGGCUAACUACGUGCCAGCAGCCGCGGUAAUACGUAGGUGGCAAGCGUUGUCCGGAUUUAUUGGGCGUAAAGCGAGCGCAGGCGGAAAGAUAAGUCUGAUGUGAAAGCCCCCGGCUUAACCGAGGAAUUGCAUCGGAAACUGUGUUUCUUGAGUGCAGAAGAGGAGAGUGGAACUCCAUGUGUAGCGGUGGAAUGCGUAGAUAUAUGGAAGAACACCAGUGGCGAAGGCGGCUCUCUGGUCUGUA